GUUAUAUAUAUAUACAUAUAUAUAUAUAUAUAAAAUAUAUAUAUAUAUAUAAAAAAAGCAACAAAAUAACGGAAUUAAAUUCAAAUCACAUCGCUGAUAAUAAGUUGAAAAAUAUCUGUAUUAUACAAUUGACUAGACGUAAUUAUUACUAUCAUUAUUAUUAUUAUUAUUAUUAUUAUUAUUAUUAUUAUUAUUAUUAUUACUAUUAUUAGUAAUAUUAGUACAUCCGUUGUUGGUCAUUAUUAUUAUUACUAUUAUUGAUUAAUCGCGUCGAUCAAUCAAUCGUCUGAUGAUUAAAAAUGGUACAACCCGUACAUCUCAAAAUUAUAGUUUGAAUAAUUCUGACCCCAUGCUGUGUUGCGUUAUUUCAUAGUUAUAUAUGAAAAUAAAUAAAUCUGAAAAAAAAGUAAAUAAAUAAAUAAAUAAACAAACAAUUAGGAAAACAGAAAAUAAAACGAAAAACGGGUAAAAUGACUGAGACGAGGACGGGAAGUGAAGAAAAAAAAAAUAAAUCGAGGCAAGAAUUACGAAAUCGUCGAAAUCGUGUUUUCUAUUAUUCCAACAUUUUUAACGUGAAUUGUAACACUUGAUCAGUAAUCACGGAUAUAUCACUUUACCUCAUUACAACAUAUAAUCGGUGCGGACCGAUGCGGAUGUGAUAUGCGAGCGAAUUAUGCAUCUUUUUGAUUUGAGUGUUGAAAAAAGAGAGAAAGAACGAAAAAAAAAAAAAAAAACAACCGAUUCAUUCUCCGCGCGUAAAUAACGUAUAAAUUUAUUACUAAUAAUUAUUAUCAUCAUUUUCACAAACAAACACACACGCGCGCACGCAUACAGACACAUUUUCCAUACGCAUACAUGUGCGGUACGUUUUUUAUUCGGAUUCCUGUAUAUAUACGCAUACUUGCAAACUUGCAAACACAUUAAUACACAUACUGGGCAUUAAAAAUUAUAAAUUAUAAAUAUACAUAUAUAUAGGUAUUAUUAAAUAUCCUUGUAGAUUGAAAUGAAAGGAUAUGUGGUGCAUGAAACGAAUACCGCAAUCGCAGCCCCGCUCGCAUUCUCAUUCCUCGUCAUUUUUUAAAUAAAUAAAUAUAUAUAUAUAUAUAUAUAUAUAUAUAUGUAUAUGUUUAUACACACUCGUCACACAUAUAUAUCUAUAUUCAUGUACUCGUAGGAUAAUAAUAAUAAUAAUACACUAAUCGCUAACGGUACGAUGGAACGAAAACGAAGGGAGUAAAAAUAGAAUGAAAAUUAAAAAAAAAAGAAAAAAAAAACGAUCGGAAUAAUAAAUAAAAAUUAUAAUAACGAUGCCAUUUUUUUUUUUUUUUUUUUUUUUUUUCUUUUUUUACCCAGAGAGAGAUCAAAAAGGAAACAAAGACGCGGUUGUCUGAAAAUUUUGAACCAGGUCGCACUGGCAGGAAGGUGGAACUUUCUUUUCAGAAUCGAGUAAAAGAAAGAAUACGAAAAUGAACUCACGACUCGUAAACGUUUUACGAAGAAAUAAUUUUCUCCCACAUCUCUUCGACACGUUCUCUGCAGAUUAUUUAUCUCAGCGUUACGAAUUUUUUAUUCUUUGCCAUUCUGUGUACCCUUAAUUUUUUUUUUUUUUUUUUUCUCUCCGCUCUCACUUCAGAUCGAUAUAACGUAUACGGUAUAAUUAUUAUACAAAUUUACACAUACCGUAUGUAUGUAUGAAUAUGAAUUUAAUGAGAACGUUUGAAAUUGAGCAUAUAGUUUCGAGGUUUGCAAAAAGAGAGGAAAAAAGAGAAUAGAAAAAAAAAAAAAAAUAAUAAUAAUGAUCGUGUAACUGGGUGAUUUCAGUCGUUGUAAUACUGCUAUAUAAAAUAUAAGUCUGUGUACUGUGUAUAAUGAAUUAAGAACUAGAUAUAUAUAUAUAUACGAUAAAUAGACUCUUCUGUACAUAGUUAGUUAGUAAGGCGUUAGGAAUUUAUUAAAUAUCUUAACUGAUUAUUAUAAUUACAAUUAUCACUACUAUUACGAGUAAGAUUAUUAUUAUUAUUAUUAUUAUUGUUGUUGUUGUUGUUCUUGUUAUUAUUAUUAUUAUUAUCAUUAUUAUUAUUACUAUUAUUAUUUCUAAUUUUAAUUGUAUUUUUUUUUUUUUUUAUAUAAGCUGCUCGCGUCCUAUUCGCAUUUAUUGAUUCAGGGCUGGUCCUAAUGGAUCUGUUAGAGAUUCAGGAUUUUUUUCCUGCGUACACGAAUAUCGCAAAUUCAUGUUGCUAGUUAUAAUCGAUAUCGAAGAGAGAAAAAAAAAAAAAAAAAAUGACGAUGAAAAGAAAGAAAGAAAGAAAAAAAAAAAAAAAACAGUCAUCGUGUGGUUAUUAAAAUUUGAUCCUCCUAAAUCGGAUGUAAUCCUAUAUCAAUGUUCAUUGUACUUCAGUGUAUUGAAGGUUCCGUUCGUAGGGAAUUCCAUAAUAAGACUUGCGUCCAAGUUUUUUCAUCUCCUUAUACUCGAUUCGUUCCUUUGCGUAAUUUUACACACGAAACAAUCUAGCAACACGGAAUUGUGGUCGAAUAUAUUGGCCAAAGCGCGUCCUAUAUAUAUACGUUUCUUUUUUUCUUUUUUUUUUUACGCAUUUCGUUUAUUAUUUAUAAAGAAAAUGGAAAAAGUAAGUAAAACAGAAAAAAAAAAAUAAUAAUAAUAAAUAAAUAAAUAAAUAAUGAAAAAAAAGAACAUUAGGUGAAAAAUAAAAAUUAAUAAAUAGAAAACAGUAAUCCUAUACGCGACCAUAUCAUUCAGAGGAGCACGUUGUAGAAAAAGAGAUGAGGAGAAAGAGCGAGUAAAUAGUGCCAAAGUGAUUCAAAUUUUGUGUAGAUAAUUGUAUAAUUCCUCGAACCCACCACGAUAGUUUGAUUUGACUGUGUAUAUUUUUUUUUUUUUUCUAUUUAUUUUUUUUUCUCUCCUUCUCUCGUCAAAACACCAUUUAUAUUUACGUAGCCGGAAGUUCCAUCCUCAUUAUUCAUGUUACGAUCGACUUUCCGUCUCUUUUUUUUAAUUGCAAACUUCUCGGUAGGUAUAGAGAAACAUACUUAUAUCAAAGAACGACGUGAAACUAGCGAAGAUGAGAAUAUUUGUAUAUCAUUCAACGGUGUUGUUUUUGUCGUGAACGACACGAAGGAUUAAAAAAAAAAAGAUUUCCGAAAGGAAUACGGGAUACGGAACAUUCUCUUCGAAGUUCUUAUGGAUCUAUCAUGAUAAUGUUGCGUUGG
Neodiprion virginianus is the source of this 3228-nucleotide long non-coding RNA. RefSeq lists it as uncharacterized. The transcript has 3 exons. The record is from RefSeq and is a predicted model, not a curated record. Lineage: Eukaryota; Metazoa; Arthropoda; Insecta; Hymenoptera; Diprionidae.